RNAcentral lists this ribosomal RNA (440 nucleotides) under uncultured bacterium. Its description in RNAcentral is "bacterial SSU rRNA". It matches the Rfam family "Bacterial small subunit ribosomal RNA", at positions 339 to 791 of the family's 1533-position model. The record is from RNAcentral.
UUACGGAAGGCAGCAGUGGGGAAUAUUGCGCAAUGGGCGGAAGCCUGACGCAGCGACGCCGCGUGAGGGAUGACGGCCUUCGGGUUGUAAACCUCUUUCAGCAGGGACGAAGCGCAAGUGACGGUACCUGCAGAAGAAGCACCGGCCAACUACGUGCCAGCAGCCGCGGUAAUACGUAGGGUGCAAGCGUUGUCCGGAAUUAUUGGGCGUAAAGAGCUCGUAGGCGGUUCGUCGCGUCGGCUGUGAAAACCCGGAGCUCAACUCCGGGCCUGCAGUCGAUACGGGCGGACUCGAGUUCGGCAGGGGAGACUGGAAUUCCUGGUGUAGCGGUGAAAUGCGCAGAUAUCAGGAGGAACACCGGUGGCGAAGGCGGGUCUCUGGGCCGAUACUGACGCUGAGGAGCGAAAGCGUGGGGAGCGAACAGGAUUAGAUACCCUGGU